UUUAAUCCAUUGCGCGGGUACAGAGUUUUCACGAAACAAAACUAGAGUGAGUACAAUCUAUCGCACUCUUGUUGCAUAUAAGUCAACAUCUCCGUUCACUGCUUCUUCCUCUCGGAUCCGAUGCUCAUCUUCCUUCCAAAUCAUAUCCAAAAUGCAGAUAAUGGCAGUUUUGGUAUUUCCAUGAUUAAGUGGAAACUCUCUUCCCACACUCUAUCUUCCUC
RNAcentral lists this long non-coding RNA (221 nucleotides) under Setaria viridis. RNAcentral's name for it is "long non-coding RNA (SVIR_LNC010214)". Lineage: Eukaryota; Viridiplantae; Streptophyta; Magnoliopsida; Poales; Poaceae. The record is from RNAcentral.